This 200-nucleotide unclassified non-coding RNA is filed under the name soil metagenome. RNAcentral's name for it is "partial contains internal transcribed spacer 2 and large subunit ribosomal RNA". The record is from RNAcentral.
ACACCUGUUCGAGCGCCAUUUCAACCCUCAAGCCUUGCUUGGUGAUGGGCCCCGUCUGCUGGCGGGCCUGAAACUCGUGGGCGCCUUUGUUCGGCUUCAAGCGUAGCAAAACCCUCGCUUGGAUGUCUGGAUGGUGGCCGCCUGGAACGAAUUCUCACAAGGUUGGCCUCGGAUCAGGUGGGGAUACCCGCUGAACUUAA